GGUCAUGAGUAUCAGCGCAAAGCCCCGGCUCGCUGAUCGGCAACCCUCCAACCGCGGUGGGGUGCUCCGGGUGAUGACCGGGUUGUGGGACCCCGUUCUGCGACGAUCAAUUCGUCGAUGAUGGUUUCGGGUCCCCGGCAAGCGCGGGUC
RNAcentral lists this non-coding RNA (150 nucleotides) under Gordonia sputi. RNAcentral describes it as "SAM-IV sequence". It matches the Rfam family "SAM (S-adenosyl methionine) riboswitch aptamer". Rfam says of the family: SAM-IV is a mRNA element that regulates gene expression via direct sensing of S-adenosylmethionine (SAM or AdoMet). SAM-IV riboswitches share conserved nucleotide positions with the previously described SAM-I riboswitches sequence analysis and molecular recognition experiments suggest that SAM-I and SAM-IV riboswitches share similar ligand binding sites, but have different scaffolds. Lineage: Bacteria; Bacillati; Actinomycetota; Actinomycetes; Mycobacteriales; Gordoniaceae. The record is from RNAcentral.